This 253-nucleotide ribosomal RNA is filed under the name uncultured bacterium. RNAcentral describes it as "partial 16S ribosomal RNA". It matches the Rfam family "Bacterial small subunit ribosomal RNA", at positions 524 to 776 of the family's 1533-position model. The record is from RNAcentral.
UACGAAGGGGGCUAGCGUUGCUCGGAAUCACUGGGCGUAAAGGGUGCGUAGGCGGGUUUUUAAGUCAGGGGUGAAAUCCUGGAGCUCAACUCCAGAACUGCCUUUGAUACUGAAGGUCUUGAGUCCGGGAGAGGUGAGUGGAACUGCGAGUGUAGAGGUGAAAUUCGUAGAUAUUCGCAAGAACACCAGUGGCGAAGGCGGCUCACUGGCCCGGUACUGACGCUGAGGCACGAAAGCGUGGGGAGCAAACAGG